Peromyscus eremicus (cactus mouse) is the source of this 1170-nucleotide long non-coding RNA. RefSeq lists it as uncharacterized. The transcript has 2 exons. The record is from RefSeq and is a predicted model, not a curated record. NCBI's taxonomy places the organism in Eukaryota, Metazoa, Chordata, Mammalia, Rodentia, Cricetidae.
GAGGGCGGGGCCUCAGCGAGCUAGACUGGGGCGCCCGGGACCGGUCGUUCAGCCUAUGGCGCUUUCAGACCCUGGUCCUCUGCCGCUGUGAUUUUCCUCUUGGGGCUCCAGGACUGGCCUUCCUCUCCAGCCUCUGCUCACGUUUCCGUGGCGACGUCUCGCUAGCUUGGACCGUGGCCGAGCUGGGUUGUCUACUGAGUGCUAGAUGCUACUCUGUUCCAUUGUGCCUACGCUCCGGCCUUUUAUUAAAAAAUCAAGGAGAUGCACGGACCAGUCAGAAAAUACUCAAGCACCACGGAGGGAUGUAGCCCCUCCACAUAGGGACUUAGCUAACCCUCCCUGCGUGAUUAAACAGUGAGGUUUUGAAAUAAACAAAAACAGACAAACAAAACAGACCUUAGAAAUAUUGUCAAAGGGGGAACUGAAUGUUUGAAACCUAAAUGCCUGUUUUUCAAACUAUUUGAUACUCAUCACGGUGGCUGUGUUUUAGACACGCCCUUAAUGGAGUAGGAAAAAUCUAAGCUUCACUGAACGGUUGAGAAGGCUGAUUGCCACAUAAUGGAAGGUCACCAGUCCCUUACCUCACAAUGCACCAUUUGGACUGUCAUAAACAUGUUCUAUUGCCUAACCAACAAAGGGGAGCCACUUGCUGCUCUUCACGUCCUGGCUCUGAUCUGUAUGCAUCUUUCUAAGGCAUAAGACAAGCAGGAAACUACUUUCCAGACUCUUGGAUUGAGCAACAUGGAUCAGCAGAUGCAUUCUACCUCACACUGUUUUGAGGAACUUGGGCCUGAAAGCCAACCCCACCAUCUCAUUUCCCGCAGCCCAGUACGGAAGGAAUUGUCCUUGUCCUGGUCAAAAACAGGUGACUGCGAUGCCCAGCCAACCGGAAGGAAGCAAAGAGAAGGGGCGCAGAACUCUCUUGCUUUGAAGGCUAUGAUCCAGGGUUUUAUUCCUCAUUUCUGACAGCACCCUGUCAUGCGAGUGUGACACCUAACUGGGAGAAGAACUAGAAAUGUCGUCUUCAGCUGGCCAAUAAUUUGUAUGGCUAAUUUCUACUACUGUUGAAAAGUGAGAGGGUGGGCGUUGGGGAGCCAUCUGCCCACUUCAACCACAGGCUUGUGUUCUGAAUUUUUUAUACACUUUUUAAAAAAGAAAAUAUUUUAUUAA